RNAcentral lists this ribosomal RNA (468 nucleotides) under uncultured bacterium. RNAcentral's name for it is "partial 16S ribosomal RNA". It matches the Rfam family "Bacterial small subunit ribosomal RNA", at positions 28 to 507 of the family's 1533-position model. The record is from RNAcentral.
GACGAACGCUGGCGGCGUGCUUAACACAUGCCAGUCGAACGGAAAGGCCCUGCUUUUGUGGGGUGCUCGAGUGGCGAACGGGUGAGUAACACGUGAGUAACCUGCCCUUGACUUUGGGAUAACUUCAGGAACCUGGGGCUAAUCCCGGAUAGGAGCUCCUGCUGCAUGGUGGGGGUUGGAAAGUUUCGGCGGUUGGGGAUGGACUCGCGGCUUAUCAGCUUGUUGGUGGGGUAGUGGCUUACCAAGGCUUUGACGGGUAGCCGGCCUGAGAGGGUGACCGGCCACAUUGGGACUGAGAUACGGCCCAGACUCCUACGGGAGGCAGCAGUGGGGAAUAUUGCACAAUGGGCGGAAGCCUGAUGCAGCAACGCCGCGUGCGGGAUGACGGCCUUCGGGUUGUAAACCGCUUUCGCCUGUGACGAAGCGUGAGUGACGGUAAUGGGUAAAGAAGCACCGGCUAACUACGUG